GCCAGUCCAGGACAGAAGGGGGUGUCACACUUUUGUAAUCCUUGCUACAAAGAAGGCUGAGGCUAGCAGAUCUCUUAGGUUUGAGGGUUCUGAGUGGCAGUGGGCUCAGCUGAUUAGGUGUCCACACUAAAUCAAUAUGGUGAGCUCCUGGAGUGGUGUGUGUGUGUAUUCCAUGUUGCCUAAGGAGAAGUGAACCAGCCUAGGUUGGAAAUGGAGUAGGUCAAAGCUUCCAUGCCAGUCAGUCGUGGGAUCAGCCUUGUGAGUAAUCACUGUACCUCCAGCCUGGGCAAGAUAGGGAUUAGUCAAUCUUA
This 311-nucleotide signal recognition particle RNA is filed under the name Phascolarctos cinereus (koala). RNAcentral describes it as "Metazoan signal recognition particle RNA (ENSPCIG00000013350.2)". It matches the Rfam family "Metazoan signal recognition particle RNA". Rfam says of the family: The signal recognition particle (SRP) is a universally conserved ribonucleoprotein. The record is from RNAcentral. Lineage: Eukaryota; Metazoa; Chordata; Mammalia; Diprotodontia; Phascolarctidae.